This 3464-nucleotide ribosomal RNA is filed under the name hydrothermal vent metagenome. RNAcentral's name for it is "eukaryotic LSU rRNA". It matches the Rfam family "Eukaryotic large subunit ribosomal RNA". The record is from RNAcentral.
CUUCGAGCUCAGCUCAGGCAAGAGGACCCGCUGAAUUUAAGCAUAUUAUUAAGCGGAGGAAAAGAAACUAACAAGGAUUCCCCUAGUAACGGCGAGUGAAGCGGGAACAGCUCAAAUUGGUAAUCUCCAGUGGGUAGCCACUGGCGAAUUGUAGUCUACAGAACCGUGUUCUGCAUGAUCGUCGGGUAUAAUUCGUUGUUGAGACAGCGAGCCGAAGAGGGUAAUAGCCCCGUAACUGAUCCGAUGGAACAUGCUUUAGUAACCGGUUUUCAAGAGUCGUGUUGCUCGGGACUGCAGCACAAAAUGGGUGGUAAUAUCCAUCUAAAGCUAAAUACUUGCGAGAGACCGAUAGCGAACAAGUACCGUGAGGGAAAGAUGAAAAGAACUUUGAAAAGAAAGUGAAAAAGUACGUGAAAUCGUUAAUAGCAAGCGAAUUGAUCCUAAAUUGUCGGCGUUGGUUUCUGGUGUUUGCUUCAGUUUGUCUCAGGUUCCCAUGUGGUGCUUGUUUCUUCCUGUUGCGUGCCAGUUCUACCACACAGACAGUCAAAGUCACUUCGAUGCGCAGUAAAAGGAAGUUCAGAAGGGAAGCGAAUCUCUUCGGAGAAUUGCGAAUACUGUUCUUCUCCCUGCGUGUCGGAGUGAGGUAAUUGCGUUGCGCUCCGAUUGGACUGGUUCGCAUGGUACUGAGGUGGUUGCAUGCUAGGAUUGCAAAGCUUUGCUGGUGUGUUGCUGUUUCAGUAUUGUGUGUAUCCAUGUGCGUGACCAAGACUUUGAUGCUUGAGGAUUGAUCCGACCCGUCUUGAAACACGGACCAAGGAGUCUAACAUAUGCGCGAGUAUUUGGGUGCCAAACCCUGAUGCGUAGAGAAAUCAAGAGUAUGAGACGUUCUAAUCGAACUGCAUCAUCGGCUGAGCCUGAUCUUCUGUGAAGUGCCUAGCAAGAGCGCAUAUGCUGGGACCCGAAAGAUGGUGAACUAUGCUUGUGCAGGGUGAAGUCAGGAGAAAUCCUGAUGGAGGCUCGAAGCGAUACUGACGUGCAAAUCGUUCGUCUGACAUGAGUAUAGGGGCGAAAGACUAAUCGAACCAUCUAGUAGCUGGUUCCCUCCGAAGAAUGUGAGUUUUGUCAGGUAAAGCGAAUGAUUAGAGGACUUAGGGUUGAAACAACCUUAACCUAUUCUCAAACUUUAAAUGGGCAAGAAGCGGAAAUUGCUUAAUUGAAUUUCUGCGUUGAAUCAGAGUUCUUAGUGGGCCAUUUUUGGUAAGCAGAACUGGCGAUGUGGGAUGCUCCAGACGUUGAGUUAAGGAGCCAAAAUGUACGUUCAGUCAGAUACCAUAAAAGGUGUUGUUGACUGAAGACAGCAGGACGGUGGUCAUGGAAGUUGAAAUCCGCUAAGGAGUGUGUAACAACUCACCUGCCGAAGUCAGCAGCCCUGAAAAUGGAUGGCGCUCAAACGUACUUCCGAAACUCAACCGUCAAAGUAAAUGCGAAGCUUUGGCGAGUAGGAGGGCGUGGUGAUUGCACCGAAGCUGUGGGCGUAAGCUCCAGUCGAGCAGUCACUAGUGCAGAUCUUGGUGUUAGUAGCAAAUAUUCAAAUGAAAUCUUUGAAGACCGAAGUGGAGAAAGGUUUCACGUGAAGUUUAUUGCGACGUGAGUGAACCGGCCCUAAGGUACUCCGUAUGGGAAUGAAAGGGCGCAAUUUAUUGCGCCGUCAGCCAAAAGGGAAACCGUUUAAGAUUUCGGUGUCGGCACACGGUAUUAGGCGGUAACGCAUUUGAACCAGGUGACAGUGGCCGAGGCUCCAGAAAGAGUUUUCUUUUCUUUUUAACAUUACCACAGUCCCUGAAAUCGGAUUAACCGGAGAAGGGGAGUGUGGUGUGGCAAAGCAAUUGACCUUUUCAAUUGUCUGGUGCGCUUCGGACGCUCCUUGAAAAGCCUGGGGAGUGUUUAUACUUCGUGCUGUCCGUACUCAUAACCGCAUCAGGUCUCCAAGGUUAAAAGCCUCUGGUCGAUAGAACAAUGUAGGUAAGGGAAGUCGGCAAAUUAGGUCCGUAACUUCGGGAAAAGGACUGGCUCUUAGGGUUGGACGUUUGAGGCUCGGUCCCAGAAGUCCCGUUAGUGAUUGAGACUGGCUGGCUGGCCUUCGGGCAGGCAGGCCGGGCUACUAUUACAGACGGACCGAAGAACCGAGAUUGUCGUUUCGGCGGCUUUCUCUGCGUGCUAAACAACCAACUGAGAACUGGCGCGGACAAGGGGAAUCCGACUGUUUAAUUAAAACAAAGCAUUGCGACGGUUGGAAACAAUGUUGACGCAAUGUGAUUUCUGCCCAGUGCUCUGAAUGUCAAUGUGAUGUAAUUCAAUCAAGCGCGGGUAAACGGCGGGAGUAACUAUGACUCUCUUAAGGUAGCCAAAUGCCUCGUCAUCUGAUUAGUGACGCGCAUGAAUGGAUCAACGAGAUUCCCACUGUCCCUACUUACUAUCUAGCGAAACCACAGCCAAGGGAACGGGCUUGGGCGUAACGGCGGGGAAAGAAGACCCUGUUGAGCUUGACUCUAGUCUGACACUGUGAAAUGACUUGAAAGGUGUAGAAUAAGUGGGAGAGCAAUCGUCCGUGAAAUACCACUACUUUUAAUGUUGUUUUACUUACUUGGUAAGAAACUAUCGGGCAAUACUGCCUGUUUCUGGAUUUAAGCGCUGUUUUUCAGUUGCGAGGUUCGCCAAUGACACUGUCAGGUGGGGAGUUUGGCUGGGGCGGCACAUCUGUUAAACGAUAACACAGGUGUCCCAAGGUCAGCUCAGAGACGACAGAAACGUCUCGUAGCGGAUAAGGCCAAAAGCUGACUUGACUGUUAUUUUCAGUAUGAAUAGCAGCUGUGAAAGCGUGGCCUAGCGAUCCUUUCGUUUGUCGGAUAUUGACGCGAGAGGUGUCAGAAAAGUUACCACAGGGAUAACUGGCUUGUGGCAGCCAAGCGUUCAUAGCGACGUUGCUUUUUGAUUCUUCGAUGUCGGCUGGUUAAAAGGUAAGAUUGUUCACCUACUAACAGGGAACGUGAGCUGGGUUUAGACCGUCGCGAGACAGGUUAGUUUUAUCCUACUGUUAUACCAUCGUCCCAAUAGUAAAGCAACUCAGUACGAGAGGAACCGUUGUUUCGCAUGACCGGUAAAUUCUGUUGGUCGACAGGCCAAUGCAGAGAAGCUGCCAUGCGUUGGAUAACAGCUGAACGCCUCUAAGCUGGAAACCGUACUAGCACGGACGAUAUGAACUUCUCAGAUAAAAGUUGGAAUACAAAUAGUGUCGCUUGCGGCACUAAGAUCAUACGAACUCCUGUGCCGGCAGUCGAAUUCUGCUGUGCGCUGGUUCGCAUCAUAACGCCAUUUUUCUGAGAAGAUAAAUCAUUUGUAGACGACUUAACUUUUGAACGGGGUAUUGUAACCAGUAGAGUCGCCUCGUUGCGACGAUCUGUUGA